GUUUUCAUAAUUUAAUAAAAAUAUUAAUUUUGUAAAUUAAAAAUAAGAAAUACUUUGAAAACU
Molecule: transfer RNA, 63 nt
Filed under: Mikadonius gracilis
Lineage: Eukaryota; Metazoa; Arthropoda; Insecta; Coleoptera; Melandryidae
Description: tRNA-Thr
Source: RNAcentral